RNAcentral lists this ribosomal RNA (253 nucleotides) under uncultured bacterium. RNAcentral describes it as "partial 16S ribosomal RNA". It matches the Rfam family "Bacterial small subunit ribosomal RNA", at positions 524 to 776 of the family's 1533-position model. The record is from RNAcentral.
CACGUAGGUGGCGAGCGUUAUCCGGAUUUAUUGGGCGUAAAGCGCGCUCAGGCAGCCAAUCAAGUCUGACGUGAAAGCUCCCGGCUCAACUGGGAGAGGUCGUUGGAAACUGAGUGGCUUGAGGCAAUGAGAGGGGUGCGGAAUUCCCGGUGUAGUGGUGGAAUGCGUAGAUAUCGGGGGGAACACCAGUGGCGAAAGCGGCACCCUGGCAUUGACCUGACGCUCAUGUGCGAAAGCGUGGGGAGCAAACGGG